This 356-nucleotide ribosomal RNA is filed under the name uncultured Latescibacterota bacterium. Its description in RNAcentral is "bacterial SSU rRNA". It matches the Rfam family "Bacterial small subunit ribosomal RNA", at positions 1028 to 1382 of the family's 1533-position model. Lineage: Bacteria; Pseudomonadati; Candidatus Latescibacterota. The record is from RNAcentral.
ACCUGCACAGGUGCUGCAUGGCUGUCGUCAGCUCGUGUCGUGAGAUGUUCGGGUUAAGUCCCGCAACGAGCGCAACCCUUAUCCCUAGUUGCCAUCAGGUAAGCUGGGAACUCUGGGGAGACUGCCGGUGAUAAACCGGAGGAAGGCGGGGAUGACGUCAAGUCCUCAUGGCCCUUACAUCCCGGGCUACACACGUGCUACAAUGGCAGGUACAGAGGGCCGCGAAGCCGCGAGGUGGAGCGAAUCCCAGAAAACCUGUCUCAGUCCGGAUUGAAGUCUGCAACUCGCCUACAUGAAGUCGGAAUCGCUAGUAAUCGCGGAUCAGCACGCCGCGGUCGAAUACGUUCCCGGGCCUU